CAGAUUGAGUUUACCCAGCAAAGAUUCCUCAAACUUAGGAGCCCGUGUCCAGGCUGCCUGGUUACUAACCGGAGCGGUCCACUUUCCCGCCUUUUCUGCGCCCAGCAUCAGCCUUCCCUUACCCCUCCCAACCUCUACCCUGUACGCACGCGCACAUCCCAGCUGCUUGCUUUCCACCAGCGCCCCCUCAAAGCUUCCCCUAGCAACAAGCGCCGGCUCACCGCUAAGGCGUGGCGAGCGCAUGCGCCGCAGCCCUCUCAGCCGCCAGUUGGACCGCACGCUGGGCUCCGCCUCCUCCCACCCAGGGUCCGCGUGGCGGGGCGCGCGCGCACUCUGGCUCGGGGGCUGCCGGCCUCGCUGGCCGCGGCAGUCAGGAGAGAGGGGCGGGGCUGUUCCUUGGGGGCCACGCCCCCUUUGGCCCGGCGUCCCUACCGCGCCUGCGCGCUCCCGCCCGGGCUCCAUCUUGGAAUUGGGAGGAAGAGGGAGAGGGAGACCGGGACGAGACCCGGGUUGUGGUGCGGAGAGGCUGGGGCUGAGAAGAGGAGAGGGAGAGAGGGCGCCGGGACCGCCCUUAGCUGCAGUCUUUCAGCUCCCCUCACGAGAGAGAAGGGGACAGGGAGGAGGCCGGGGCGGGAGUGGGGGCUGUCACCCUCGUACCCUGACGUGAGAGGGGCCGUUUGGCCGGACGUCCUAGGGGUGGGUCCCCUAUCGGUGGCCGAAGCCCUGGGGUUCAGGCCCUUCGGUUCCGAAUUUCCGGGCUUGACCCCUCGUUUCUCAAAUACCCGGUUAUCAGCCCCACAGAUUCCAGAUAUCCGGGACCCGGGUCCCAACCUCUCUAAAGCUGGGGCUCUGUUUUAUAGGAUUUCAAAUAUCUGGGGUUCAGGCCCCUGCGUGCACCAGUAUCCGGGGUUCAUUCCCUCACGCGUUCAACUAUCAGAGCCAGCCUCCCCCCCGUUUAAAUAUCUGGGGUUCAGACCCCACAAUCAGAAAUCCGGGAUUCAGCAACUGUCGCCCUCGAGGAGGAGGAGGAGGACUGGACCGCGAGGUCAGAUCAGGCUGUCACCCCCUCCCCUCCAGGGGAGGCUUCCCGGGCCCACCCCUGAGGAAGGGCAAACGCCGAGGCAGAGGUGGCAAGGGGAAAGGGCUCCUUGCCCCUCUCCCUGCUUGGCAGAGCCGCUGGAGGACCCCAGGAGGAGUCGGAAGCGCUGGGGGCACCAUAGUGACUCCUACCAGGUGAGACACGGGGUGCAGGGGCGCGGGUCCCGGUGUCGAGCGCUGAGAAGAAAGGGUGCUGGGCCUCGGGAGGCCCUCUCGGGAUGGGGAAGCCCGGCCGGGCCAGUGGUCCGCCUCUGGCUCCCUCUGCCUGCUGCGGCCACCCUCUUCCCCUUUCUCUUCCCUUCGUUAAGUCCGGUUGAGGAGGCACCUCAGGUGACAGGGUCUCUGAUGUCCCCGGGGGUCACGCCCUAG
RNAcentral lists this long non-coding RNA (1467 nucleotides) under Rhinolophus ferrumequinum (greater horseshoe bat). RNAcentral describes it as "lncRNA (ENSRFEG00010018073.1)". Lineage: Eukaryota; Metazoa; Chordata; Mammalia; Chiroptera; Rhinolophidae. The record is from RNAcentral.